ACAGGUGCUGCAUGGCUGUCGUCAGCUCGUGCCGUGAGGUGUUGGGUUAAGUCCCGCAACGAGCGCAACCCUUNUCCUUAGUUGCCAGCGAGUAAUGUCGGGCACUCUAGGGAGACCGCCUCGGUCAACGGGGAGGAAGGUGGGGACGACGUCAAGUCAUCAUGGCCCUUACGCCCAGGGCUACACACGUACUACAAUGGCGGGUACAAUGGGCUGCGAGACCGCAAGGUGGAGCCAAUCCCAAAAAACCCGUCCCAGUCCGGAUCGGGGUCUGCAACUCGACCCCGUGAAGUCGGAAUCGCUAGUAAUCGGAGAUCAGCAUGCUCCGGUGAAUACGUUCCCGGGUCUUGUACACACCG
This 359-nucleotide ribosomal RNA is filed under the name uncultured bacterium. RNAcentral's name for it is "bacterial SSU rRNA". It matches the Rfam family "Bacterial small subunit ribosomal RNA", at positions 1034 to 1392 of the family's 1533-position model. The record is from RNAcentral.